RNAcentral lists this ribosomal RNA (421 nucleotides) under uncultured bacterium. RNAcentral's name for it is "partial 16S ribosomal RNA". It matches the Rfam family "Bacterial small subunit ribosomal RNA", at positions 360 to 773 of the family's 1533-position model. The record is from RNAcentral.
AAUAUUGGACAAUGGGGGCAACCCUGAUCCAGCGAUGCCGCGUGUGUGAUGAGGGUUUUCGGUUUGUAAAUCACUUUAAGUUGGGAGGAAGGGCUUUAGGUUAAUACCCUGCAGUUUUGACGUUACCAACAGAAUACGCACCGGCUAUCUCUGUGCCAGCAGCCGCGGUAAUACAGAGGGUGCAAGCGUUAAUCGGAAUUAAUGGGCGUAAAGCGCGCGUAGGUGGUUCAGUAAGAUGGGUGUGAAAUCCCCGGGCUUAACCUGGGAACUGCUUUCAUAACUGCUGAGCUAGAGUACGGUAGAGGGUAGUGGAAUUUCCUGUGUAGCGGUGAAAUGCGUAGAUAUAGGAAGGAACACCAGUGGCGAAGGCGACUACCUGGACUGAUACUGACACUGAGGUGCGAAAGCGUGGGGAGCAAAC